This is a non-coding RNA of Paramisgurnus dabryanus, 575 nucleotides long. Lineage: Eukaryota; Metazoa; Chordata; Actinopteri; Cypriniformes; Cobitidae. The record is from RefSeq and is a predicted model, not a curated record.
UGGGAAAAUGAAAUGACACGCUUUACAGGUGAGGAAGCUCUACAGAUGCUCCUGGACAGCGAGGAAGAGUUCACAGUUUCUUCAGACGAAGAGCAGGACUCCGACGAUGAACGUUUUUAUUUUGAAGAGCGACUUGAUCCAGCUGAGGAUAUAAUUUCUGAAGACGGGCAUUUGCAGAAAUGCGACGGACAUUCAUACAGGAUUUACUGACAGUGAUAAGGCACCUGUUGCAAAAAGAGUCAAGACCAACAUCCAGGCAAGCAGCAGCAGGUCCAUUCUGUCAUGGAAAACAGAGGCUGAUAUUGAUGUGGUUCCACACACUUUGCGUUUCUUUCCUGCACUAAAGAUGAUCUCCAUCAGGCACUACUGGAGACAGGACGAUGUUUUCUCCGUGCCUUUUCCUGCCAGAGUAAUGUCAAGAGAGAGAUACUGCACUAUUUCAUGGAAUGUGCACAUGAGUCACCCAGAAGACCAAAAACAUGUAAUGUUCUAUUGUGUGUUCAGUUAAAUAGGAACUGUUUUGAACAAUGGCACGACAACAUUUAACUCCAUUCUCAAAGAGUUACAGUGUGUGA